Molecule: ribosomal RNA, 497 nt
Filed under: uncultured bacterium
Lineage: Bacteria
Description: partial 16S ribosomal RNA
Rfam family: Bacterial small subunit ribosomal RNA
Source: RNAcentral
GAUGAACGCUGGCGGCGUGCCUAAUACAUGCAAGUCGAGCGAACGGACGAGAAGCUUGCUUCUCUGAUGUUAGCGGCGGACGGGUGAGUAACACGUGGAUAACCUACCUAUAAGACUGGGAUAACUUCGGGAAACCGGAGCUAAUACCGGAUGAUAUUUUGAACCGCAUGGUUCAAAAGUGAAAGACGGUCUUGCUGUCACUUAUAGAUGGAUCCGCGCUGCAUUAGCUAGUUGGCAAGGUAACGGCUUACCAAGGCAACGAUGCAUAGCCGACCUGAGAGGGUGAUCGGCCACACUGGAACUGAGACACGGUCCAGACUCCUACGGGAGGCAGCAGUAGGGAAUCUUCCGCAAUGGGCGAAAGCCUGACGGAGCAACGCCGCGUGAGUGAUGAAGGUCUUCGGAUCGUAAAACUCUGUUAUUAGGGAAGAACAUAUGUGUAAGUAACUGUGCACAUCUUGACGGUACCUAAUCAGGAAGCCACGGCUAACUACGUG